CAGUAGCCACGGGAAUACGUAGGUGGCAAGCGUUGUCCGGAAUUAUUGGGCGUAAAACGCGCGCAGGCGGAUCAGUCAGUCUGUCUUAAAAGUUCGGGGCUUAACCCCGUGAGGGGAUGGAAACUGCUGAUCUAGAGUAUCGGAGAGGAAAGUGGAAUUCCUAGUGUAGCGGUGAAAUGCGUAGAUAUUAGGAAGAACACCAGUGGCGAAGGCGGCUUACUGGACGACAACUGACGUUGAGGCUCGAAGGCGUGGGUAGCAAACAGGAUUAGAUACCCCAGUAGUCCCUGUCUCUUAUACA
RNAcentral lists this ribosomal RNA (301 nucleotides) under uncultured bacterium. RNAcentral describes it as "partial 16S ribosomal RNA". It matches the Rfam family "Bacterial small subunit ribosomal RNA", at positions 509 to 808 of the family's 1533-position model. The record is from RNAcentral.